This is a long non-coding RNA of Pan paniscus (pygmy chimpanzee), 1945 nucleotides long. The record is from Ensembl. Lineage: Eukaryota; Metazoa; Chordata; Mammalia; Primates; Hominidae.
AUACUUUAAGAUUCAGAAAUACUUCAUUUUUGGCCCCUUCCCUCUUUCUUUUUACAAUAAAUUCUUCCUCCUUGUCUGGUGGGAGUGUGGCCAGAUGUGCUGCUGGAAAGAUCCCCCUGGACACAUUUGCUGCCGUGUGUCUGUUCAUCACCUUGCUGGGUCUCAUCCUCCCUCCGGCUGGAACAGUCUGCGUGGCAGCGAGGGAAUGGGGGUCAGCCUGCAGGACAUCGCGGGAACACGGGGAACCUCUGGCCACUUAGGGGAGUCUGCCAUUGAGAGAGGCGGAGAACAAUGAACAAAGAAGCAGAAUCCCACGGACACACUGCCCGGCACAUCUCCUCCUGUCAGCAGCCUCCAGCAGAGUAAAAAUGGUUGGUUAAGUGCAAGGUCGUUUUUAAAGAUGCAUCAGAAUUCAGACAAAGGAAUAACCCCCAAAGGCAUACUCAGAUACUUUCUCAGUCACCUGGUAAGGUUGCAGCCUCUUCACCUGUAUUCAGUGUGCUUGUUGGUUGGACUGUUCUCUCUUGUUCCCUGGGGACCUGUCUGGGAAAUGCCCAAAUUCCACUGGGAUAACUGCCGGCAAGCAUGGUGGACGAAUCUGCUGUUGCUAAAUAACUUUGUGUCGGUCAAGAAUGCGUGCAAUGGCUGGACCUGGUACCUUGCCAAUGACUUCCAGUUCCACCUCACCACACCAGUGAUUAUCUUCAUCCAUGUAAAGAGUACACAGAUCCUCAUCCUCCUUGGGGCCAUGCUGUUCUUGGCAUCUUUCACAGCCACUGCUCUGAUCACAUUGGCAUAUAAACUUCCUGUCGUGGCUCCAUCAGAAACCAGGUAAUGCGGUUCCCCAGCCUGCCGCUUUCUGGCCACGACUUCCCGGGGAGGGCUGCUGAAUGCCAGGCUGUUCACCCUGUGCCCUUUGGUUCAUGGAAAAAGUGGGUAUGAAACUUUUGGUCUGGAUGGGAAAGCUGAUUGCCUUCUUGCUUCCAAACUUCUGAACCUUUCAACCUGUACUGGUAGGUCCUCUCUGAACUCAACGUUGCCCAUUGAAACGCUUCUCAGAGGAAAGGAGCGCCCCCAUGUGGCUGUACUGUGUUUCUCCUCCAGCAGCCAAUGGCUGCUUGGUGGCUCUGUUGGAUGGAGAGACUGAACCUACCUCUUCAAGGUCACACAACUAGUAGGUGGCACAGGUGUGAUUUGAACCUAGAAGCCAAUCCACAGUGCUAUUUCCCCUACCCAAUGAGGCAUGUAUGACACUUACACAGGAAAAACUGUUAUGAUUACCUGCUAAUCUUCUCUCAAUGCAGUGACACAAAUGAAAAUCAGAUUACGUCAGUCAUCUGCUCGAAUUCCUCCAGUGGCCUCAUUGGUCACCCUCCUACCUGCUGACACUGGACCAGCCACACCAACUCAUCUCAACGCACCAAGCACUUUCCCCGAACCCCCUUCCCCACCCUCCCCAACCCGGGGCCUUAGCACUUGCUGUUGAGCCUGAAUUACUCUUCUGUUAAAAUCUAAGAUCUUGGCAGGGCUUUCUCCUUCACAUCUUUCAGGUGUCUGUGCAAAUGUCACCUUCUCAGAGCAGCCUUUGCCGAUCUUCCAAAAUAAAAUGGCCAGAACCGUUCCUGGUAUGUGAGUGUUCCAUGUGAAUCUGUGAGUGGGUGGCAUGUGAGAAUAAAUGAAUGAAUUGGUGAUAACAUCCCAAGCCUCCUGACCAGGAGACUAUCAUGCCCUUCCCAUAUCAUGGCAUGGUGAAGUGAUUGAGGAGGAGGCUCACUCAUGUCCAGCCCAGCGGUUUUCAACCCUGGCCACAUAUUAGAGUCACUUGGGAGCUUCUAAAUCUACAGAUGCUUUCAUCCCCACCCACCUCCGAACAAUUGAAUCAGAAUCUCUGGGCAUGGGGCCCAGGCAGCUGACUUUUGUAAGCAUUCCCAGGGUGCUUACAAAU